UACGGAGGGUGCAAGCGUUAUCCGGAUUCACUGGGUUUAAAGGGUGCGUAGGAGGGCAGGUAAGUCAGUGGUAAAAUCCCCGAGCUUAACUUGGGAACUGCCGUUGAUACUAUCUGUCUUGAAUACCGUGGAGGUGAGCGGAAUAUGUCAUGUAGCGGUGAAAUGCUUAGAUAUGACAUAGAACACCAAUUGCGAAGGCAGCUCGCUACACGAAUAUUGACUCUGAGGCACGAAAGCGUGGGGAUCAAACAGG
RNAcentral lists this ribosomal RNA (253 nucleotides) under uncultured bacterium. RNAcentral's name for it is "partial 16S ribosomal RNA". It matches the Rfam family "Bacterial small subunit ribosomal RNA", at positions 524 to 776 of the family's 1533-position model. The record is from RNAcentral.